UACGAAGGGGGCUAGCGUUGCUCGGAAUCACUGGGCGUAAAGGGCGCGUAGGCGGCUUUUUAAGUCGGGGGUGAAAGCCUGUGGCUCAACCACAGAAUUGCCUUCGAUACUGGAAAGCUUGAGACCGGAAGAGGACAGCGGAACUGCGAGUGUAGAGGUGAAAUUCGUAGAUAUUCGCAAGAACACCAGUGGCGAAGGCGGCUGUCUGGUCCGGUUCUGACGCUGAGGCGCGAAAGCGUGGGGAGCAAACAGG
Molecule: ribosomal RNA, 253 nt
Filed under: uncultured bacterium
Lineage: Bacteria
Also listed under: 1 other name
Description: partial 16S ribosomal RNA
Rfam family: Bacterial small subunit ribosomal RNA
Source: RNAcentral